CUAUGCAAAACGGCUAAAUAAACAAAUCAAGCAUUUUCGUUUAUCACAUGGUCAAAGCUGUGAAAUCUCACCUCGCACUCCCCCAAGGUGUUGAAAGUGACGAUAUUUUCUCCAAGAGGUUCAUUUAGAUUCUUCUUAAGUGUCUGGUCAGCAGGCAGCGUGCUGUCAACGCAAGAUCUGACAAACUUGAAGUCACUGGUGCGUGAGCCCGUUGUCAGGUAUGCGUCAUAAUUGUAAGAACUGCGCAGAGUUCCAGCUGCAUCCACAUCUGCAUAGUUGGGAGGGAAAUACGCGCUGGGAAUGGCAACUGCUCCAUCAAACAACAUUCUGGGCUUUCUACUGCGGCAGAACUUCACGGCCAGGAUGAGAAUAAUGAAAGUCAGGAAAAAGGUGGAGACAGAGACUAGACCAAUGAUCAAAUAGGAAGUUAGUUUGGAACUAUCCUCAUAAGUCAUGUCUUUCAGUUCUGGAACCUCAGCCAAGUUAUCUGAUAUGAGUAAAUACACAUCACAGGUUGUAGAGAGAGAGGGCUGUCCGUUAUCUUUCACUGAUAUAACAAGGUUCUGCUUCAUACUGUCAGAUUCAGAAAUGUCCCGCUGUGCCCUGAUCUCUCCGCUGUGGAGACCAAUCAUGAAAAGUCCCGGAUCAGUCGAUUUCACGAUGUGAUAUGAAAGCCACGCGUUUUGUCCAGAGUCAGCAUCCACAGCUAUCACCUUGGAAACCAGGGACCCCGCCAGGGCAGCUUUGGGGACCAUCUCAGUCAUCAAGGAGUUCCCUGCUGGAGCAGGGUAUAAUAUCUGGGGGGAGUUAUCAUUCUCAUCUGUUAUGAAGACACUCACAGUCACGUUACUGCUGAGGGGAGGAGAACCAUUGUCUCUGGCUACAACGUGGACUUUGAAGCUCCUAAACUGCUCAUAAUCAAAUGCUCUCACAGCAUGGAUCACCCCCGUGUCUCCGUUAAUGGAUAAAAAUGAGGACACCGGAGCACCGUUGACCUCACUGGGCCAUAGAGAAUAGACCACAGUGCCGUUCUGUCUCCAGUCUGGGUCUCUGGCAGUAACAGAACACAUAGAGGAGCCUGGCUUGUUAUUUUCAGUCACGUAGGCGUUGUAGGAUUGUUUGUCAAACAUAGGUUGGUUGUCAUUCACAUCUGAAACAAUUAACGUAAUAGUUUGAAAUGAUGACAGCGGAGGAUGUCCUUCAUCGGUUGCAAUAAGAGUGAUGUUGUAUUCGGACUGUGUCUCACGAUCCAAUUCCACAGCAGUUAUUAGGGAAAGGUGUUUUUUGAUUGACGGGGACAAUUUGAAGUAUGUGUUCUGCUCAAUAGAACAUCUUACAUUGCCAUUGGACUCAGAAUCUCUGUCCUGUACAUAAAUGAAGGCGACCUCUGUACCGGCUGGUGAGUUUUCUGGCAAUGGUGAUUUGAAUGACUUAAUAAGUAUGACUGGGGCGUUGUCAUUAAUAUCAGCGACGUCGACAAUAACUUUACAUGAAGCAGCCUGACCUGCUCCAUCUUUAGCUUUAACUCGCAGUUCAAAUGAAGACGUAUCUUCAAAAUCUAUCAUUGAUUUUAUUUUAAUCUCUCCACUUCUUGGAUCAAUAGAGAAAGUAUUUUUUGUUUUGAUAGAAAUAUGACUAAAUUCAUAUGUAACCUGUCCAUUCGCCCCUUCAUCUGCAUCGCUGGCACUGACAGUGACCACGGCAGUACCCAAUGGAGCGUUUUCAGGCACACUCACCUUAUAAAUAGACUGCGUAAAUACAGGGACAUUAUCAUUAGCAUCUAGUAUCCGGACCUGUAUAACCACUGUGCCAGAUUUCUGUGGCUUUCCGCCAUCAUAAGCUGUCAGAAUAAGUGAUAGUUCGUCCUGUUUUUCGCGGUCUAGUUCAUGCUCUAGUACGAUCUCUGCAUAUUUACCCGUAUCAGCACUUGUGUGAACAGACAAGGUGAAAUGUUCAUUUGCCGAUAGAGUAUAACCCUGAACUGAAUUGACUCCCGUAUCUGUGUCGAGGGCCUCAUCAAUGGAAAAUCGCUCUCCUUUAUUGGCCGAUUCUCGGAUCUCUAAUUUGAUUACUUCAUUGGGAAAUGUUGGGAAAUUGUCGUUAACAUCUUGGAUUUCAAGCGUGACACGGUGCAACUCUAGAGGGUUUUCCAAAAAGAAGUCAAAAUGCAAAGCACACGACGGCCUUUGUCCGCACAGCUCCUCUCUGUCCAUCCGCUCGUUCACAAUCAAAUCUCCAGUCUUCUGGUUAAUGUCGCAGUAUCGUGUACUACCUUCGAAUUCGAUCCUUGGUCUUCUGGUGGACAGUGUUUUUACAUCGAUGCCCAAAUCCUGAGAAAAUCUCCCAACCACAGAACCUCGUUUAAUUUCUUCUGCAAUGGAAUAGCGAAUAUCCCCGACACACUGAUGGACGGUCAAUAAUAGGAAGACAAAGGUGGUCCAUCGCCCUCGCCUCAAUAUGGAACCUCUUUUAUAUUCCAUAAUAAAAUUCAGAUUAAUCAAAUGAUCCCAAACCUCUUAGUGUAGGCUAUAUAUACAAAAACUUCUGCAAAUAUGACCUCUACCUUGGUAAGGGUAUCCAACGUGAAAGGCUUUAUGCAAGAAAGCAGUCACCACACAAAAUAUAACGACGGAUUGGGGGCAGGAGUGGGU
Molecule: long non-coding RNA, 2651 nt
Organism: Oncorhynchus tshawytscha (Chinook salmon)
Lineage: Eukaryota; Metazoa; Chordata; Actinopteri; Salmoniformes; Salmonidae
Source: Ensembl